Molecule: non-coding RNA, 112 nt
Filed under: Cucumis sativus (cucumber)
Lineage: Eukaryota; Viridiplantae; Streptophyta; Magnoliopsida; Cucurbitales; Cucurbitaceae
Source: RNAcentral
GUGUUCAAAUAAAGGAGAGAUGGUUGGCAUCUCCCCUUAUAAGAUCGGAAUUAGCCUUUGGGCUCUUUCAUAUGAACACACGAUUAAGGGUAGAUCGUAUUCAAUUUUUUAU